RNAcentral lists this long non-coding RNA (662 nucleotides) under Canis lupus familiaris (dog). Its description in RNAcentral is "lncRNA (ENSCAFG00845017596.1)". Lineage: Eukaryota; Metazoa; Chordata; Mammalia; Carnivora; Canidae. The record is from RNAcentral.
CGAGAAAUAUACCUCUGCUUUUCUUCCCAACUGUCACUCUUUGAGCUGAGCAGUUCAUAGUUGAUAUUGAGUGAGUUGUCAGCUCUCUACCUAGCGUCUUUGACAAUGGACAACCUCAAUUGUUGCUGCUGCGAUGAUGUUGCCAAGGCUGUGGUGCCAGAUUUUGUCCACCGAAACUCAGAUGGAUAUCUGGAUACCUUCAAGCAGCUGCUUGAAACACAAACCUCAAUGAAUUUUCUUUUCAAAAAGAAUUUUCAAGAAUUAUUUAAGCCAUGGAAAACUGUGAAAUAUGUGUGUCAUCCAUUGAGUCUCUAGACAAUUAAGAGUGACUCGACCGUCACCCUUAGGACUGUGUGCACUGCCAAGUAUCUGAUUCUCUCACACAGAACUCAGAGAUUAUUUCAAUAAAUUUGAUAUUUUAUUCUUUCUUCUUAUCAUAUCAGACUUUGUUACUUCUACCAAUUAUAUACAUAUUGUAUAACACUGGUCACUGGCUCAAGAUAAACAAGACAAACCAAACAUCAUCCUCAGAGUACCAGCAACAAAGCUGGAAUAUAUUUUCCCUAAACUUGAAAUACACAGAAACCAUGAUCAUUACCCAGUAAAGAUGAAGUACAGAGAAAGCCAUUCCACUUCAAAAUCAACAAGCAGGCGAAUAUCAC